RNAcentral lists this ribosomal RNA (525 nucleotides) under uncultured bacterium. Its description in RNAcentral is "bacterial SSU rRNA". It matches the Rfam family "Bacterial small subunit ribosomal RNA", at positions 777 to 1314 of the family's 1533-position model. The record is from RNAcentral.
AAUAGAUACCCAGGUAGUCCACGCCGUAAACGAUGAGUGCUUGCUGUAUUCGGUAUCGACCCCGGAUGUAGCGAAGCUAACGCGUUAAGCACUCCGCCUGUGGAGUACGGUCGCAAGACUAAAACAUAAAGGAAUUGACGGGGACCCGCACAAGCGGUGGAGCGUGUUGUUUAAUUCGAUGGUAAGCGAAGAACCUUACCCAGGUUUGACAUCCUCGGAAUUUCUCCGAAAGGAGAAAGUGCCUUUGGAACCGAGUGACAGGUGCUGCAUGGCCGUCGUCAGCUCGUGUCGUGAGAUGUUUGGUUAAGUCCAUCAACGAGCGCAACCCUUAUGGUCUGUUGUAUUUCUCAGGCCAGACUGGCCCCUGGCAACAGGGAGGAAGGGGGGGAUGAUGUCAGGUCAGUAUUGCCCUUACACCUGGGGCUACAAACACGCUACAAUGGCCGGUACAAAGGGCUGCCAAAGCGCAAGCUGGAGCAAAUCCCAUCAAAGCCGGUCUCAGUUCGGAUUGCAGGCUGAAACUCG